ACUUGUUUGCGAUAGCACCAGCAGCAUAGGAAAGAGUAGUACCAGAAUUAAAUGACUUUCAUGGAGACAGAAAGUUGCAGCAGAGACCCGUUCUGCUGUGUGGGAUGCUCUGAGGUCGGCUCUGUGCUGCAGGUGGGAAAUGAGGAUGGGGAGGAGGGAAAUUAGUGUUGACAUGUUUGUAAAUUGUUAGCCAGGUGUUUUAAACCCAGUUCCACUGUUAGAAGCAAUCUGACAAUAGACUUCAGUAGAUACAUAGAGAUUGGGAUUGCCUUCCAAUACUUGUUCUGGUCCACGGGCCAGUUCCAGGAUGGGAGCGAGCCUUCUGUCUAAGACACAAAAGAGUCCCUGUGGUCUGACAUCUCCGCUUUCCUCUGCAGCAUCUGUCUGCAGGGCACUGCCAUGGUAACCCCAGUGUACCAGGCAGCUAUUCGAGUACAAGCCGUGCCUCAGUCCCUGCGACCGUUCUCACAAUCUCUGUUCUAAGAGGUCAGUAACAGCAGAGAAGCAACCGCUCGCAGACCUUGUUACUUCUGUGUGCAUAGCUUGUAAGCAGCCACCAACGCAUCGCCUUGGUGACCACCGAGGGAGGGAGCUUCAUUCGGUGGCGCUGGAACCUCCACGGCACUCAUCUUCCCAGGAGAGGUGCAGAGGUGCGCGGGUGCUUUGUGUGCAUCAGCCAGACGGAUGCUGGCCCUGCAGCUGCUUUGUGCCUCUGGGGGCGGCACUGGCACUGGAAUCGCAGCCCUGAGGUGCUCUGCUGCCGGAAGACGCAGCUCCCAUCAGCAUCAGGAGGAGUUACACAGGUCCUGUAUUUGGCCGAGGAGAGCCGCUCCGUGCCCAGAGGGACAGCUGCAGUGCCGGCCGGGUGCCCUCGGUGCUGCUCCCACCCUUCCCGGCUGUUCCCCCAGCCUGGCCGCAGGCGAUGGUCUCCCUGCUGCUGUAGGUCGGUUCAGUGGGAUAUUAGAGCGUGGUCGGCUAAAUAGUUAUUUUCUCAGGAACGGGAAGCAGCAGCAUCCAUCAGCUGGGUGGUGUUAGCAGGAGGGCUGGGAACCGCUGACCCAGCAGCCCGAGGUGGUUCCUCUCCUUCAGCUCAUGCCUCCAGCUCCAGCAAACUAAGGCAGGUUCCCAAGUGACUGGAUCUUAAAAGACCCGGCUCAUUCUCCCCCAAGAAACACAUGCCAGUCUGUAGCUAACACCACCGAAAGGGACCAUGGCACCACACCACUGCAGAGCAGAGCGUGCUGGUGCAAGGAGGAGCCUCUCCGCCCCGGUGCACGGAGAGGCUCUUUCAACUUUGGCACCUAGGCGCAUUUCAUACUCAGCCGUGCCGCCCAAAUACUGUUAAUGUGGUUGUUGCAGUCGUUUUUCCAUGUAACUUAACAUUUCUUCUCAUUGGAAGAUGUUUUCAGCAGAUGAAUAAAAUUGACCCUGUGGAAAAAAAAAAAUGCUCC
This 1451-nucleotide long non-coding RNA is filed under the name Anser brachyrhynchus (Pink-footed goose). RNAcentral's name for it is "lncRNA (ENSABRG00000001778.1)". Lineage: Eukaryota; Metazoa; Chordata; Aves; Anseriformes; Anatidae. The record is from RNAcentral.